Molecule: ribosomal RNA, 465 nt
Filed under: uncultured Klebsiella sp.
Lineage: Bacteria; Pseudomonadati; Pseudomonadota; Gammaproteobacteria; Enterobacterales; Enterobacteriaceae
Description: bacterial SSU rRNA
Rfam family: Bacterial small subunit ribosomal RNA
Source: RNAcentral
CCUACGGGGGGCUGCAGUGGGGAAUAUUGCACAAUGGGCGCAAGCCUGAUGCAGCCAUGCCGCGUGUGUGAAGAAGGCCUUCGGGUUGUAAAGCACUUUCAGCGGGGAGGAAGGCGUUAAGGUUAAUAACCUUGUCGAUUGACGUUACCCGCAGAAGAAGCACCGGCUAACUCCGUGCCAGCAGCCGCGGUAAUACGGAGGGUGCAAGCGUUAAUCGGAAUUACUGGGCGUAAAGCGCACGCAGGCGGUCUGUCAAGUCGGAUGUGAAAUCCCCGGGCUCAACCUGGGAACUGCAUUCGAAACUGGCAGGCUAGAGUCUUGUAGAGGGGGGUAGAAGUCGAGGUGUAGCGGGGAAAUGCGUAGAGAUCUGGAGGAAUACCGGUGGCGAAGGCGGCCCCCUGAACAAAGACUGACGCUCAGGUGCGAAAGCGUGGGGAGCAAACAGGAUUAGAUACCCGGGUAGUC